AUCCCUACGGCUCCUCGUCAGGUUUGUUAACCGCUGAGCCACAAAGGGAACUCUAGCACACUUUCAAAGAGGCGUAAUCAUCCCCAUUUUACAGAUGGAGAACCUGAAAGGCAGAGACCAUACAUCCACCUGAACUGAGAUCUGUCAUAUUACAAAGGCUCUAAUCUUCUAACUUUCCUGCAGUGGUUCUUGAGAGCAUAAGGAAAGUCCCCUUUUAUUCAGCCCUCGACAGAUGAUCUUCACUGCAUGAAGCGGCCACACUGCAUAAGGGACAGACUAGGAUGUGAAAGAGACAACGAUGAGGGUGAUGAAGGAUCUGGAAACCCUUUCAAAUAAGGCGCAACUGGGGGAACUAGAGAUGGUUGGUAUGGAAAAUUAAAGCGAUGCUUGGAGAAUUUCUAGCCUGAGUGCCUGACUACUGGAAGAGAAAUGCUUGAGUUUGAUUCUUCACCCACCUUUGAUGGAAACUGACUUGGAACAUACUUUGGGAACUGGCUAGGGGAAGGAGCUUCAGAACAGAGGCUUGGAGGACAUAGUAUUUCAUGGAGUUCUUGUGGUGCAAUGGGUUAAGAAUCUGACUACAGUAGCUCACGUCAUGUGGAGGCACAGGUUAAACAAUCCCUAGCCCUGUGCAGUAGGUUAAAGGAUCGAGCGUUGCUGCAGCUGUGGGGUAGAUCUCAGUUGCUGCUCAGGUUCAGUGCCUGGCCUGGGAACUUCCAUGUGCCGUCAGUGUGGCCAUAAAAUUAAAAAAUGAAAAAUAGUGUUUCUUGAGUUAUAAGGUACCAGGGCCAAUGCCCACUACUGCACUGCUGAA
Non-coding RNA from Sus scrofa (pig), 814 nucleotides. Lineage: Eukaryota; Metazoa; Chordata; Mammalia; Artiodactyla; Suidae. The record is from RefSeq and is a predicted model, not a curated record.